RNAcentral lists this transfer RNA (77 nucleotides) under Dialister micraerophilus. Its description in RNAcentral is "tRNA-Arg(cct)". It matches the Rfam family "tRNA". Rfam says of the family: Transfer RNA (tRNA) molecules are approximately 80 nucleotides in length. Their secondary structure includes four short double-helical elements and three loops (D, anti-codon, and T loops). Further hydrogen bonds mediate the characteristic L-shaped molecular structure. tRNAs have two regions of fundamental functional importance: the anti-codon, which is responsible for specific mRNA codon recognition, and the 3' end, to which the tRNAs corresponding amino acid is attached (by aminoacyl-tRNA synthetases). tRNAs cope with the degeneracy of the genetic code in two manners: having more than one tRNA (with a specific anti-codon) for a particular amino acid; and 'wobble' base-pairing, i.e. permitting non-standard base-pairing at the 3rd anti-codon position. Lineage: Bacteria; Bacillati; Bacillota; Negativicutes; Veillonellales; Veillonellaceae. RNAcentral also lists the same sequence under 2 other names. The record is from RNAcentral.
GCGUCCAUAGCUCAGAUGGAUAGAGCAGCGGUUUCCUAAACCGUGUGUCAGGGGUUCGACUCCCUUUGGGCGCACCA